GCGCUGUUAGUUCAAUUGGAUAGAGCGUUCGGCUACGGACCGAAAGGCUUCAGGUUCAAAUCCUGAACGGCGCGCCA
This 77-nucleotide transfer RNA is filed under the name Clostridiales bacterium GWC2_40_7. Its description in RNAcentral is "tRNA-Arg". It matches the Rfam family "tRNA". Rfam says of the family: Transfer RNA (tRNA) molecules are approximately 80 nucleotides in length. The record is from RNAcentral. Lineage: Bacteria; Bacillati; Bacillota; Clostridia; Eubacteriales.